Lactuca sativa (garden lettuce) is the source of this 107-nucleotide small nucleolar RNA. NCBI's taxonomy places the organism in Eukaryota, Viridiplantae, Streptophyta, Magnoliopsida, Asterales, Asteraceae. The record is from RefSeq and is a predicted model, not a curated record.
AUAUCAUUCUGGGGGAAAUUUCUCAUUAAGCCCUUGUAUCUCUCUCAUGCCUCAUAAAGCGAUUCACCUCCCAACUGUUCAAAAUUGGCAAAUGCUUUCUUCAAAUU